This 237-nucleotide small RNA is filed under the name uncultured Clostridium sp. RNAcentral's name for it is "5' ureB small RNA". It matches the Rfam family "5' ureB small RNA", at positions 9 to 239 of the family's 292-position model. The record is from RNAcentral. Lineage: Bacteria; Bacillati; Bacillota; Clostridia; Eubacteriales; Clostridiaceae.
GUAUCAAUUUGUUGAGGAGAAAUAAAAUGAAUAUGAGUAUCUAUUCCACCAGCUGUUACUAUAAGACCUUCAGCAGAAAUUGCUUCAGUUGAUGCUCCUACUGUCAUACCUUUAGUUACUCCAUCUAAAACAUCUGGAUUUCCUGCCUUUCCUAUUCCAACUAUAUACCCAUCUUUAAUUCCUAUAUCAGCUUUAUAAACUCCUGUAUAAUCUAAAAUUAAGGCAUUAGUUAUUACU